CCUACGGGAGGCAGCAGUAGGGAAUCUUUCACAAUGGGCGAAAGCCUGAUGGAGCAACGCCGCGUGCAGGAUGAAGGCCUUCGGGUUGUAAACUGCUUUUAUAAGCGAGAAAUAUGAUGGUAACUUAUGAAUAAGGAUCGGCUAACUACGUGCCAGCAGCCGCGGUCAUACGUAGGAUCCGAGCAUUAUCCGGAGUGACUGGGUGUAAAGAGUUGCGUAGGUGGCAUAAUAAGUAGCUAGUGGAAUCUGGUGGCUCAACCAUUCAGACUAUUAGCUAAACUGUUAAGCUCGAGACCGUUAGGGGUAACUGGAAUGUCUAGUGUAGGAGUGAAAUCCGUAGAUAUUAGGAGGAACACCAAUAGCGUAGGCAGGUUGCUGGGACGGUUCUGACACUAAGGCACGAAAGCGUAGGGAGCAAACGGGAUUAGAUACCCCAGUAGUC
Molecule: ribosomal RNA, 442 nt
Filed under: uncultured bacterium
Lineage: Bacteria
Description: partial 16S ribosomal RNA
Rfam family: Bacterial small subunit ribosomal RNA
Source: RNAcentral